RNAcentral lists this ribosomal RNA (460 nucleotides) under uncultured bacterium. RNAcentral describes it as "partial 16S ribosomal RNA". It matches the Rfam family "Bacterial small subunit ribosomal RNA", at positions 338 to 795 of the family's 1533-position model. The record is from RNAcentral.
CCUACGGGAGGCAGCAGUGAGGAAUAUUGGUCAAUGGCCGUAAGGCUGAACCAGCCAAGUCGCGUGAAGGAAGACGGAUCUAUAGUUUGUAAACCUCUUUUAUAGGGGAAUAAAGGUAUACCCGUGUGGACAUUUGCAUGUACCCUAUGAAUAAGCAUCGGCGAAUUCGGUGCCAGCAGCCGCGGUAAUACGGAGGGUGCGAGCGGUAUCCGGAUUUAUUGGGUUUAAAGGGUGCGGAGGUUGUUUUUUAAUGCAUGGGUGAAAGUUUGUGGCUCAAACAUAAAAUAGCCGUUGAAACUGGAGGACUAGAGUGUGUUUGAGGUAGGCGGAAUGCGUGGUGUAGCGGUGAAAUGCAUAGAUAUCACGCAGAACUCCGAUUGCGAAGGCAGCUUACUAAGCCAUAACUGACACUGAAGCACGAAAGCGUGGGGAUCGAACAGGAUUAGAUACCCCAGUAGUC